Molecule: non-coding RNA, 72 nt
Organism: Podarcis lilfordi (Lilford's wall lizard)
Lineage: Eukaryota; Metazoa; Chordata; Lepidosauria; Squamata; Lacertidae
Source: the annotation of a GenBank genome assembly
GGGCCAUAGCUCAGUGGUUAGGGCAUCUGCCUUGCAUGCAGAAGGUCACAGGUUGAAUCCUUGACAUCUCCA